CUUUAAGUUUUUAAGGGCACACGGUGGAUGCCUUGGUACCAGGAACCGAAGAAGGACGUAGGAAUCUGCGAUAAGCCUCGGGGAGUCGAUAACCAGACAUUGAUCCGAGGAUUUCCGAAUGGGGAAACCCGGCUGGAUUCAUCUCCAGUUACUCCUGCCUGAAUAUAUAGGGCAGGUAGAGGGAACGUGGGGAAGUGAAACAUCUCAGUACCCACAGGAAGAGAAAACAAUAGUGAUUCCGUGAGUAGUGGCGAGCGAAAGCGGAUCAGGCUAAACCGGUCAUGUGUGAUAGCUAGUAGGCGUUGCAUGGUCGGGGUCGUGGGACAUACCAGUUCCGGGUCUACUAACCCGGUGCGGAGUAAAAAAUCAUGUGCAUAGGCGAGACGUUUGGAAAAACGUGGCAUAGAGGGUGAGACCCCCGUAGCUGAAAUGUGUGUGACUUCGUUGGUUUGUUCCCAAGUAGUACGGGGCUCGAGAAAUCCCGUGCGAAUCUGGCAGGACCACCUGCUAAGCCUAAAUAUUCCCUGGUGACCGAUAGCGAACAAGUACCGUGAGGGAAAGGUGAAAAGUACCCCGGGAGGGGAGUGAAAUAGAUCCUGAAACCGUGUGCUUACAAUCCGUUGGAGCUGGACUGCGGUCUGGUGACAGCGUGCCUUUUGAAGAAUGAGCCUGCGAGUUAGUGCUCAGUGGCGAGGUUAACCCGUGUGGGGAAGCCGUAGCGAAAGCGAGUCCUAAUAGGGCGUCAGAGUCGCUGGGUCUAGACCCGAAGCGGAGUGAUCUAUCCAUGGCCAGGUUGAAGCGCCGGUAAGACGGCGUGGAGGACCGAACCCACUUAGGUUGAAAACUGAGGGGAUGAGCUGUGGAUAGGGGUGAAAGGCCAAUCAAACUCCGUAAUAGCUGGUUCUCCCCGAAAUGCAUUUAGGUGCAGCGUCACGUGUUUCUUUCCGGAGGUAGAGCUACUGGAUGGCUAAUGGGCCUCACCAGGUUACUGACGUCAGCCAAACUCCGAAUGCCGGAAAGUGAGAGCGUGGCAGUGAGACUGCGGGGGAUAAGCUUCGUAGUCGAGAGGGAAACAGCCCAGAUCAUCAGCUAAGGUCCCUAAGCGUGUGCUAAGUGGGAAAGGAUGUGGAGUUGCUGUGACAACCAGGAGGUUGGCUUAGAAGCAGCCACCCUUUAAAGAGUGCGUAAUAGCUCACUGGUCAAGUGAUUCCGCGCCGACAAUGUAGCGGGGCUCAAGCACACCACCGAAGCUAUGGCAUUGAUACAUUGCCCGGCUGAUCCCUUNNNNNNNNNNNNNNNNNNNNNNNNNNNNNNNNNNNNNNNNNNNNNNNNNNNNNNNNNNNNNNNNNNNNNNNNNNNNNNNNNNNNNNNNNNNNNNNNGGGGUUCAGUCCAAGCGUAUUGAUGGGUAGGGGAGCGUCGUGUGGCGAGUGAAGCGGCGGAGUGAUCCAGUCGUGGAUGCCACACGAGUGAGAAUGCAGGCAUGAGUAGCGAAAGACGGGUGAGAAACCCGUCCGCCGAAUAUCCAAGGGUUCCAGGGUCAAGCUAAUCUGCCCUGGGUAAGUCGGGACCUAAGGCGAGGCCGACAGGCGUAGUCGAUGGACAUCCGGUUGAUAUUCCGGAACCGGCGAAGAACCGCCCAUGCUGAAUCAGUUGAUGCUAAACACCCAAAGCACGCGCGCUGAAUCCUUCGGGAUUCUUGUGUGUGUGGAGCGUGUGACCCGAUUCUGUAGUAGGCAAGCGAUGGAAGGACGCAGGAAGGUAGCCUCCGCGUGGCGAUGGUUGUCCACGUCUAAGAGCGCAGGAACCGGGAGUGGUAAAUCCGCCCGAUAUGUUCCGAGGCUUGAUAGUGACCGCGUAUGCGGGAAGUAGGGUGAUCCUAUGCUGCCUAGAAAAUUUCCUAGCGAGGUUCGAGCCGCCCGUACCCCAAACCGACUCAGGUGGAUAAGUAGAGAAUACUAAGGCGAUCGAGUGAAUCGUGGUUAAGGAACUCGGCAAAAUGCCCCCGUAACUUCGGGAGAAGGGGGGCCGGAUACGUGAAACCACUUGCUGGUUAGCGUUGAAGGCCGCAGAGACCAGGGAGAAGCGACUGUUUACUAAAAACACAGGUCCGUGCGAAGUCGUAAGACGAUGUAUACGGACUGACGCCUGCCCGGUGCUGGAACGUUAAGGGGAUGGGUUAGUCACUUUGUGGCGAAGCUCGGAACUUAAGCGCCAGUAAACGGCGGUGGUAACUAUAACCAUCCUAAGGUAGCGAAAUUCCUUGUCGGGUAAGUUCCGACCUGCACGAAUGGCGUAACGACUUCUCCACUGUCUCAACCGCGAACUCGGCGAAAUUGCACUACGAGUAAAGAUGCUCGUUACGCGCAGCAGGACGGAAAGACCCCGGGACCUUUACUAUAGUUUGGUAUUGGUGUUCGAAACGGUUUGUGUAGGAUAGGUGGGAGACUAUGAAGCAUGCACGCCAGUGUGUGUGGAGUCAUCGUUGAAAUACCACUCUGGUCGUUUUGGAUUCCUAACCUCGGUCCGUGAUCCGGAUCAGGGACAGUGCCUGAUGGGUAGUUUAACUGGGGCGGUUGCCUCCCAAAGAGUAACGGAGGCGCCCAAAGGUUCCCUCAGCCUGGUUGGUAAUCAGGUUUCGAGUGUAAGUGCACAAGGGAGCUUGACUGCGAGACAGACAUGUCAAGCAGACACGAAAGUGGGGACUAGUGACCCGACGGUGGCUUGUGGAAGCGCCGUCGCUCAACGGAUAAAAGGUACCCCGGGGAUAACAGGCUGAUCCUGCCCAAGAGCUCAUAUCGACGGCAUGGUUUGGCACCUCGAUGUCGGCUCGUCGCAUCCUGGGGCUGGAGUCGGUCCCAAGGGUUGGGCUGUUCGCCCAUUAAAGCGGUACGCGAGCUGGGUUUAGAACGUCGUGAGACAGUUCGGUCCCUAUCCGCUGCGCGCGUAGGAAACUUGAGAAGAGCUGUCCCUAGUACGAGAGGACCGGGAUGGACGAACCACUGGUGUGUCAGUUGUCCUGCCAAGGGCACCGCUGAUUAGCUACGUUCGGACGUGAUAACCGCUGAAAGCAUCUAAGCGGGAAGCACACUUCAAGAUGAGGUUUCCAUCAGGUUAAAUCCUGGAGAGGCUCCCAGCUAGACUACUGGGUUGAUAGGCCGGAUGUGGAAGCACAGUAAUGUGUGGAGCUGACCGGUACUAAUAAGCCGAUAACUUAAACAA
RNAcentral lists this ribosomal RNA (3220 nucleotides) under Ornithinimicrobium laminariae. RNAcentral describes it as "Ornithinimicrobium sp. Arc0846-15 23S ribosomal RNA". It matches the Rfam family "Bacterial large subunit ribosomal RNA". Lineage: Bacteria; Bacillati; Actinomycetota; Actinomycetes; Micrococcales; Ornithinimicrobiaceae. The record is from RNAcentral.